GUCCCAGCAGAGGAGCCUCUGUUUCCUCUACCCAGUCUGACAGGAAAUAGUUCUGUGCUCUCUGAGAGCACUUCCUGUAAGACUGGGUAGAGGCUCCUCUACCACAGUCAGCCUGCUCG
Non-coding RNA from Pelobates cultripes (western spadefoot toad), 119 nucleotides. The record is from the annotation of a GenBank genome assembly. NCBI's taxonomy places the organism in Eukaryota, Metazoa, Chordata, Amphibia, Anura, Pelobatidae.